GGUAAUAUGCCUGAUUAAAGGGAUAUUUUGAUGAAAUAUUAAUGUAAUUUUAUUUACUAUUACUU
Molecule: transfer RNA, 65 nt
Filed under: Habropoda radoszkowskii
Lineage: Eukaryota; Metazoa; Arthropoda; Insecta; Hymenoptera; Apidae
Description: tRNA-Ile
Source: RNAcentral